GCGGGCGUAGCUCAAUGGUAGAGCGCUUGCUUCCCAAGCAAGAUACGCGGGUUCGAUUCCCGUCGCCCGCUCCA
This 74-nucleotide transfer RNA is filed under the name Escherichia coli. RNAcentral describes it as "tRNA-Gly". It matches the Rfam family "tRNA". From Rfam's summary of the family: Transfer RNA (tRNA) molecules are approximately 80 nucleotides in length. Their secondary structure includes four short double-helical elements and three loops (D, anti-codon, and T loops). RNAcentral also lists the same sequence under 67 other names. The record is from RNAcentral. Lineage: Bacteria; Pseudomonadati; Pseudomonadota; Gammaproteobacteria; Enterobacterales; Enterobacteriaceae.